Molecule: ribosomal RNA, 610 nt
Filed under: Lactococcus lactis
Lineage: Bacteria; Bacillati; Bacillota; Bacilli; Lactobacillales; Streptococcaceae
Description: bacterial SSU rRNA
Rfam family: Bacterial small subunit ribosomal RNA
Source: RNAcentral
ACUUGUACCGACUGGAUGAGCAGCGAACGGGUGAGUAACGCGUGGGGAAUCUGCCUUUGAGCGGGGGACAACAUUUGGAAACGAAUGCUAAUACCGCAUAAAAACUUUAAACACAAGUUUUAAGUUUGAAAGAUGCAAUUGCAUCACUCAAAGAUGAUCCCGCGUUGUAUUAGCUAGUUGGUGAGGUAAAGGCUCACCAAGGCGAUGAUACAUAGCCGACCUGAGAGGGUGAUCGGCCACAUUGGGACUGAGACACGGCCCAAACUCCUACGGGAGGCAGCAGUAGGGAAUCUUCGGCAAUGGACGAAAGUCUGACCGAGCAACGCCGCGUGAGUGAAGAAGGUUUUCGGAUCGUAAAACUCUGUUGGUAGAGAAGAACGUUGGUGAGAGUGGAAAGCUCAUCAAGUGACGGUAACUACCCAGAAAGGGACGGCUAACUACGUGCCAGCAGCCGCGGUAAUACGUAGGUCCCGAGCGUUGUCCGGAUUUAUUGGGCGUAAAGCGAGCGCAGGUGGUUUAUUAAGUCUGGUGUAAAAGGCAGUGGCUCAACCAUUGUAUGCAUUGGAAACUGGUAGACUUGAGUGCAGGAGAGGAGAGUGGAAAUCCAUGG